GGCCAGUUAGCUCAGUUGGUAGAGCAGCGGACUGAAAAUCCGCGUGUCCGUGGUUCGAUUCCGCGACUGGCCACCA
Molecule: transfer RNA, 76 nt
Filed under: Azoarcus sp.
Lineage: Bacteria; Pseudomonadati; Pseudomonadota; Betaproteobacteria; Rhodocyclales; Zoogloeaceae
Also listed under: 5 other names
Description: tRNA-Phe
Rfam family: tRNA
About the family: Transfer RNA (tRNA) molecules are approximately 80 nucleotides in length.
Source: RNAcentral